AUUAACUUGAACAAUUUUUAUUUAAUGUGACCUCAAAUCAGGUAGGACUACCCGCUGAACUUAAGCAUAUCAAUAAGCGGAGGAAAAGAACUAACAAGGAUUCCCCUAGUAACUGCGAGUGAAGCGGGAAAAGCUCAAAUUUAAAAUCUGGCAGUCUUUGGCUGUCCGAGUUGUAAUCUAGAGAAGUGUUAUCCGCGCUGGACCGUGUACAAGUCUCCUGGAAUGGAGCGUCAUAGAGGGUGAGAAUCCCGUCUUUGACACGGACUACCAGGGCUUUGUGAUAUGCUCUCAAAGAGUCGAGUUGUUUGGGAAUGCAGCUCAAAAUGGGUGGUAAAUUCCAUCUAAAGCUAAAUAUUGGCGAGAGACCGAUAGCGAACAAGUACCGUGAGGGAAAGAUGAAAAGAACUUUGGAAAGAGAGUUAAACAGUACGUGAAAUUGCUGAAAGGGAAACGCUUGAAGUCAGUCGCGUUGUCCAGGGAUCAGCCUUGCUUUUGCUUGGUGCACUUUCUGGUCGAUGGGUCAGCAUCAAUUUUGACUGUUGGAAAAAGAUCAAGGGAAUGUGGCAUCUUUGGAUGUGUUAUAGCCUUUGGUUGCAUACAAUGGUUAGGAUUGAGGAACUCAGCACGCCGCAAGGCCGGGUUUUAAACCACGUACGUGCUUAGGAUGCUGGCAUAAUGGCUUUAAUCGACCCGCU
This 695-nucleotide ribosomal RNA is filed under the name uncultured Corticiaceae. RNAcentral's name for it is "eukaryotic LSU rRNA". It matches the Rfam family "Eukaryotic large subunit ribosomal RNA", at positions 1 to 653 of the family's 3401-position model. The record is from RNAcentral. Lineage: Eukaryota; Fungi; Basidiomycota; Agaricomycetes; Corticiales; Corticiaceae.